Molecule: long non-coding RNA, 585 nt
Filed under: Pongo abelii (Sumatran orangutan)
Lineage: Eukaryota; Metazoa; Chordata; Mammalia; Primates; Hominidae
Description: lincRNA
Source: RNAcentral
CUUAUUUGGCUCCUGUCUGCAGGGUUUACGCGCACGUUGGAAUCGAAGAGAGCUCUGUUGUUGCAAUGUUCAGCCCACAAGAGCUUACAGGUGAAGGAAUGGGACAAGACCCAUCUUUAUGCAAAGCCAGCGUUACAGUAAUGUUCCAGCAUCUCAUAAUCUAUCCUGAGGAAUUCAGCUGCCUCCCAGGGUGAAUACAGGUAUUUCUGAUGACAGUCUGCCUCUAUCUUACAGAGCAGCUUGUUGCUAUAUACCAUUGAAAAGCCUUCAGAGCUAAGAGGUACUACUAACCAAUAACCUGCUUGGCUCAAAGGGCCAGCACCUUCUCUCUAAAGCCCAAGAGGAGUUUGAGGAAAACUAGGUGUCUCUGUUCACUCCAGGCUGAAGUUACAGGUUUGAGGAAAGGUGUAUAAAAAAUGGAAUCUGUCUUGGAGGACAUCAGAAGAUACAAGGGCUUGGUUUUGUUACCAAGGCUGGUUUCAAGGCCCUAGCUUUAAGAGAUCCUCCCACCACAGAUUUCCAAAGUGCUGGGAUUGCAGGUAUGAUUAGUGGCACCCAGACUUUGCUGCCUUUCUUACAUGAUCA